RNAcentral lists this ribosomal RNA (1501 nucleotides) under uncultured bacterium. RNAcentral describes it as "bacterial SSU rRNA". It matches the Rfam family "Bacterial small subunit ribosomal RNA". The record is from RNAcentral.
AGAGUUUGAUCCUGGCUCAGAUUGAACGCUGGCGGUAUGCUUAACACAUGCAAGUCGAACGGAAACGAAACUAGCUUGCUAGUAGGCGUCGAGUGGCGGACGGGUGAGUAACGCGUAGGAAUCUGCCUGAUAGUGGGGGAUAGCCCGAAGAAAUUCGGAUUAAUACCGCAUAAUCUAUUCGUAGUAAAGUGGGGGACUUUCGAGCCUCACGCUAUCAGAUGAGCCUGCGUAAGAUUAGCUUGUUGGUAGGGUAAAAGCCUACCAAGGCAACGAUCUUUAGCUGGUCUGAGAGGAUGAUCAGCCACAUCGGGACUGAGACACGGCCCGAACUCCUACGGGAGGCAGCAGUGGGGAAUAUUGGACAAUGGGGGCAACCCUGAUCCAGCAAUACCGCGUGUGUGAAGAAGGCCUGAGGGUUGUAAAGCACUUUCAAUUGUGAAGAAAAGUUAACGGUUAAUAACCGUUGACCUUGACGUUAACUUUAGAAGAAGCACCGGCUAACUCCGUGCCAGCAGCCGCGGUAAUACGGAGGGUGCAAGCGUUAAUCGGAAUUACUGGGCGUAAAGCGUGCGUAGGCGGUUUAUUAAGUCAGAUGUGAAAGCCCCGGGCUUAACCUGGGAACUGCAUUUGAAACUGGUCAACUAGAGUAUGGUAGAGGAAAGUGGAAUUUCUGGUGUAGCGGUGAAAUGCGUAGAUAUCAGAAGGAACAUCAAUGGCGAAGGCAGCUUUCUGGACCAAUACUGACGCUGAGGUACGAAAGCGUGGGUAGCAAACAGGAUUAGAUACCCUGGUAGUCCACGCCGUAAACGAUGAUAACUAGCCGUUGGGGGGAUUUACCCUUUAGUGGCGAAGCUAACGCGUUAAGUUAUCCGCCUGGGGAGUACGGCCGCAAGGCUAAAACUCAAAGGAAUUGACGGGGACCCGCACAAGCGGUGGAGCAUGUGGUUUAAUUCGAUGCAACGCGAAGAACCUUACCUGGUCUUGACAUCCUGCGAACUUUCUAGAAAUAGAUUGGUGCCUUCGGGAACGCAGUGACAGGUGCUGCAUGGCUGUCGUCAGCUCGUGUCGUGAGAUGUUGGGUUAAGUCCCGUAACGAGCGCAACCCCUAUCCUUAUUUGCCAGCACGUCAUGGUGGGAACUAUAAGGAGACUGCCGGUGAUAAACCGGAGGAAGGCGGGGACGACGUCAAGUCAUCAUGGCCCUUACGACCAGGGCUACACACGUGCUACAAUGGGAAGGACAAAGAGCCGCGAAGCCGCGAGGUGUAGCUAAUCUCAGAAACCUUUUCGUAGUCCGGAUUGGAGUCUGCAACUCGACUCCAUGAAGUCGGAAUCGCUAGUAAUCGUAGAUCAGAAUGCUACGGUGAAUACGUUCCCGGGUCUUGUACACACCGCCCGUCAUACCAUGGGAGUGGGUUGCACCAGAAGUGGCUAGUCUAACUUAGUGAGGACGGUCACCACGGUGUGAUUCAUGACUGGGGUAAAGUCGUAACAAGGUAACC